This 253-nucleotide ribosomal RNA is filed under the name uncultured bacterium. RNAcentral's name for it is "partial 16S ribosomal RNA". It matches the Rfam family "Bacterial small subunit ribosomal RNA", at positions 524 to 776 of the family's 1533-position model. The record is from RNAcentral.
UACGUAGGGAGCUAGCGUUGUUCGGAAUUAUUGGGCGUAAAGCGCGUGUAGGCUGUUUAUUAAGUCGGGUGUGAAAUCCCUGGGCUCAACCUAGGAAGUGCAUUCGAAACUAGUAAACUAGAAGAUGGUAGAGGAAGGUGGAAUUCCAAGUGUAGAGGUGAAAUUCGUAGAUAUUUGGAGGAAUACCGGCGGCGAAGGCGGCCUUCUGGACCAUUCUUGACGCUGAGACGCGAAAGCGUGGGUAGCAAACAGG